RNAcentral lists this ribosomal RNA (399 nucleotides) under Triticum aestivum (bread wheat). Its description in RNAcentral is "partial small subunit ribosomal RNA". The record is from RNAcentral. Lineage: Eukaryota; Viridiplantae; Streptophyta; Magnoliopsida; Poales; Poaceae.
AUGCUCGCCUUCCGGGACACGUUGGAGAUUUGUGGCCUAGUGGAUCUGGGUUUUGUGGGCUUACCAUUUACAUAUGAUAAUAAGAGAGCAGGUUUUGCGAAUGUGCAAGUUAGGCUGGACAAAGCGGUGGCUACAAAUACAUGGAGGAACUUAUUUGCGUUUUCGUCAGUUACACAUGUACCGUCUCCGUGCUCUGACCAUGUUGCUAUAGUACUCAAAGGGUCAGCUGAUCAAGGAGCGGCCAGAUCUAAACAAAGACGUUAUGAAGGUUUUUGGGAAAGGGAUUCGACGCUCCCGGAGGUGAUAAGAGAUGCAUGGGAGGCGGUGGGAAGUGUACAGAAUUUGCAUCGGUUACAUGACGCGUUGACUAAAACCUUGUCCUCCUUAUGCUUAUGGAGC